CAUUCUUCAAUAUUCAGUGACAAUCUCGGCUGUACAUUAUCUUCUCCGAUCGAAUCAUUUGAUCUCGGCUGUACAUCAUCUUUUCCGAUCAUAUUCCUUUAUGAGUUAUGGGGUUGCUCAUUAUCUUCACCGGUAAAGUCCACCAACACUUCCUCACACUACAAGAAAACAUCAAUUUUACAACUGCAACAAUAGUUACAAAUUAGUUGCAAAUAUCAAAAAUGUAACUAUUUUGCAACUACUAAAUGUAGUUAAAAAUACUUCGUCGCAAAAAAAAUUAGUUGUAAAUUAGUUGCAAAAGAGCAACUACGGUGAAACUAUUUAAUCGGUGGUAAAUUAGCAACUAAUUUAUAACUAACAGUUGUAGUUGCAUAAAACUUAACACCAACUUUUUCGUUACACAUUAGUCCCAAAAAGAUAGUUACUAAUUAGUCUCAAUUCAAAUUUGGUUAUAAGUUAGUUGCUAAUAUUAGUGACUACAAUAUUUAUAGAUAGUUACAAAUUAGUCACAAGUUUUUAUGAUUAUAUAGCAACAAUAUUAUUUAUAUUUCAACAAAUUAAUGGUUAAUAAAUUAUUAAUUGGAAUCCGUUAAAUUAUAAAAAUUAAUUAUUAAUUAAAAAAGUAAUUUUAGAAUCAAAAUUUCAUAUUGAUAUUAAAUUUAAUUAAAAAUUUAAAUUACAACAAUAAAUACACAAAAACACCAUCAUCAUCUCGUGUGCUCGGACUCCGCCACCCGCUUCUCCACCGGCUCUGGUUUCACGGCUCCACGACGACUCGGAGUGCCCCCUGAAGCGACGACUUGGAGUGGUUCCAUCUGAAGCAACGACUCGAUCUGGUAGUGGAGCCACCGGUGUUGGUCUGAUACAUACACCGUUCCUCCGAUUCGUUAGACCACCUCCAUCUCCGGCGCGUCUGCUCUAUUAUAGCUGCUCCUUUUUCUCAGAUCUGUAAACAAAACAAAAAUCAAUUAGAUUAGCAUAAGGAGAUGAAGAGAAAGAAAAAAAACUAAGAAAAAUGAAACGGUAAAGGAAAAAGAAAGUGAAAAGGAGAGAGCAGAGAACGAGAAGAAGAUGAAGAGAAAAGAUAAAAGGUUUUCUGUGUAUGAAACUGGCAAAGAAGAAAACAGAAAAGAGGGAUAAAAAUCUGAUUAAAUCGUGGCCGUUAGAGUUAUUAAUAUAUCUACGGUGGAUGAGCUACAAAAGCCAAUCCUUCCCUUCGCGAACUGACCAAUAGAAAGCAAGCUUUUUAAUUUUAUUUUUAAUUUUAUUAGACAAAUUAGGCUACUAAAGUGCAACUAUCUUAAUGCAAAUGGUUGCAAAAUAGUGGUUAACAAUACC
Molecule: long non-coding RNA, 1338 nt
Filed under: Brassica napus (rape)
Lineage: Eukaryota; Viridiplantae; Streptophyta; Magnoliopsida; Brassicales; Brassicaceae
Description: long non-coding RNA (BNAP_LNC010425)
Source: RNAcentral